Molecule: ribosomal RNA, 1480 nt
Filed under: Salmonella enterica subsp. enterica serovar Newport
Lineage: Bacteria; Pseudomonadati; Pseudomonadota; Gammaproteobacteria; Enterobacterales; Enterobacteriaceae
Description: partial 23S ribosomal RNA
Rfam family: Bacterial large subunit ribosomal RNA
Source: RNAcentral
GAAGACCAAGGGUUCCUGUCCAACGUUAAUCGGGGCAGGGUGAGUCGACCCCUAAGGCGAGGCCGAAAGGCGUAGUCGAUGGGAAACGGGUUAAUAUUCCCGUACUUGGUGUUACUGCGAAGGGGGGACGGAGAAGGCUAUGUUGGCCGGGCGACGGUUGUCCCGGUUUAAGCGUGUAGGUGUGUGUUCCAGGUAAAUCCGGUUCACUUUAACACUGAGGCGUGACGACGAGGCACUACGGUGCUGAAGCAACAAAUGCCCUGCUUCCAGGAAAAGCCUCUAAGCAUCAGGUAACAUCAAAUCGUACCCCAAACCGACACAGGUGGUCAGGUAGAGAAUACCAAGGCGCUUGAGAGAACUCGGGUGAAGGAACUAGGCAAAAUGGUGCCGUAACUUCGGGAGAAGGCACGCUGACACGUAGGUGAAGUGAUUUACUCAUGGAGCUGAAGUCAGUCGAAGAUACCAGCUGGCUGCAACUGUUUAUUAAAAACACAGCACUGUGCAAACACGAAAGUGGACGUAUACGGUGUGACGCCUGCCCGGUGCCGGAAGGUUAAUUGAUGGGGUCAGCGCAAGCGAAGCUCCUGAUCGAAGCCCCGGUAAACGGCGGCCGUAACUAUAACGGUCCUAAGGUAGCGAAAUUCCUUGUCGGGUAAGUUCCGACCUGCACGAAUGGCGUAAUGAUGGCCAGGCUGUCUCCACCCGAGACUCAGUGAAAUUGAACUCGCUGUGAAGAUGCAGUGUACCCGCGGCAAGACGGAAAGACCCCGUGAACCUUUACUAUAGCUUGACACUGAACAUUGAGCCUUGAUGUGUAGGAUAGGUGGGAGGCUUUGAAGCGUGGACGCCAGUCUGCGUGGAGCCGACCUUGAAAUACCACCCUUUAAUGUUUGAUGUUCUAACGUGGACCCGUGAUCCGGGUUGCGGACAGUGUCUGGUGGGUAGUUUGACUGGGGCGGUCUCCUCCUAAAGAGUAACGGAGGAGCACGAAGGUUGGCUAAUCCUGGUCGGACAUCAGGAGGUUAGUGCAAUGGCAUAAGCCAGCUUGACUGCGAGCGUGACGGCGCGAGCAGGUGCGAAAGCAGGUCAUAGUGAUCCGGUGGUUCUGAAUGGAAGGGCCAUCGCUCAACGGAUAAAAGGUACUCCGGGGAUAACAGGCUGAUACCGCCCAAGAGUUCAUAUCGACGGCGGUGUUUGGCACCUCGAUGUCGGCUCAUCACAUCCUGGGGCUGAAGUAGGUCCCAAGGGUAUGGCUGUUCGCCAUUUAAAGUGGUACGCGAGCUGGGUUUAGAACGUCGUGAGACAGUUCGGUCCCUAUCUGCCGUGGGCGCUGGAGAACUGAGGGGGGCUGCUCCUAGUACGAGAGGACCGGAGUGGACGCAUCACUGGUGUUCGGGUUGUCAUGCCAAUGGCACUGCCCGGUAGCUAAAUGCGGAAGAGAUAAGUGCUGAAAGCAUCUAAGCACGAAACUUGCCCCGAG